AUGAGCAUCCAUCAGGAGGAGGACGCAAAGUCGGGGAUAUUUGCUAUGAAUAGAGCUUUAUCAUCCGAGGAAUUUGUGAGGUUGGUGGUUACUUUAUGGGCCAUUUGGGGCGCACGUAGGAAGGCCAUUCAUGAGGAUAUCUUCAAAAGCCCUCAUGCGAUACAUGGGCACAUAACUUCUUAUCUGAUGGAGGUGAAGGCUCUAUCAAACAAAGCUGAGGCGGGGAGUAGGGUACAGCAGCGGCGCACGGGGUGGAUUGCACCUCCUGAUCAUCAUGCUAAGCUGAAUGUCGAUGCCGCUGUCAUUAAGGGACGCGUAGGAGCGGUUGGAGUGGUCUGCCGAAAUGAGCAGGGAAUGUUUCUUGGAGCAUCGGCGAUAGUUUUUAACAGCAUUGAUGAUCCGGCGACACUGGAGGCUAUGGCCAUUCGAGAGGGGCUGGCUCUAGCAGAAGAUUUGAACCUACAUCAACAACAAUUGCUUCCUAUUGUGAAGGAGUGGUAA
RNAcentral lists this ribosomal RNA (501 nucleotides) under Triticum aestivum (bread wheat). RNAcentral describes it as "partial small subunit ribosomal RNA". Lineage: Eukaryota; Viridiplantae; Streptophyta; Magnoliopsida; Poales; Poaceae. The record is from RNAcentral.